GACGGGGCAGCGCCGCGGCCGGGCUGCGCUGAAAGGGAAGGGCAGCUGAGGGAUCCCUGACUUGUGUGAGGGGAGAGGCCGGUUGUGGGACUCGGCAGCUGAUGGAUCCCUGACUUCUCUGAGGCAAGGAGCUGGUUAUGGAGCCAGGCUGUGAGGGAAGGAGCUGACUGUGGGACUGGGCUGUGAGGGAAGGAACAGCUGAUGGAUCCCUGAAUUAUAUGAGGGUAAAGGAGCCAGCUGAGGGAUCAGGCUUUGAGAAAAGGGGCAGCUCAUGGAUCCUUGACUGCUAUGAGGGAAGGAGCUGGUUGUGGGGUUAGACUGUGAGGGAAGAAACAGUUGAUGGGUGCCUGACAUCUGUGAGGGAAGGAGCCGGGCUGUGAAAGAAGGAGCCAGUUGUGGGACUGGGCUGUGAGGGAAAGGGCAGCUCCGGCAGCCAGGCUGUGCUGGGAGUGAAGGGGCUGGUUGUGGGAUUGAGCUGUGAGGGAUGGGGCAGCUGAUGGAUCCCUGACUGCCAGGAGAGAAGGAGCUGGUUGAGGGGUCAGGCUGUGACAGAAGGAGCUGGCUGCGCAGCAUGGGGCCAUCUUGCCUCUUGAUGAUCCCUGCUCCCUCUAAUCUCAUUUCCUCCCUGUAAUUCUCACAGCCCAGCUGUCACCUUUCCCCCCCUCCUGUUUUUAUAACCCCAAUCACUUUAAGUGAGGCAAGAGGCAAAUACAAGGGACCUGAUGGACAACUGGGACUGAUGCUGAGGAGUCAGUGAUGGCCCCAACGCUCCCUGUGGAUCAGCAGGUGAAGGUGAAGUGGAUCAGCAGGUGAAGGCCCAGUUGGGCUGUCCCAGGAAGCUGAGAGUGAGCAGCACCCUCCAUCACACUUGCUGUGUCCCCCCCUAAAUGCUGCCUGAUUGAAUAAAAACCGUCUGUAAAAGCCCCACCAAAGGCAGCGCUGAGGAAAGGCACCUCCCGGCCGCCGGUAAGUGGGCUGUGUACACAGGCAGAAUGAAUAAGUGUAAAAGGAGCUGUUUAUCUGCAGAGCACACCCAGCCUGGACCUGGCCGGACAGACAGACAUCCUCCCACAGACCUGCAGUGACUCCAGCCUGGGCACACAGGGACCCUCCUUGCUGCCUUAGAGUGGGUGACACAACAUAAAACCCCUUGUAAAUCACCAAAGGAAUUUGUGUGCUCCGGGCACACAGGACUCCUGCUGGGAAGCCCUUCCAGGCCCUUCCAGGCCCUUCCUCUGGUGUUUAAGAGCCUUGUUUCCAGCCUGCCCAUAGUCACAGGCUACAGACACCCGACAGGCUUGUGCCAAGGCUUCCUGCAGCUCAUCUCCUCCUGCAGGGCGUACCCUGGGAUCCAUCCGCACUCCGCUCUCCUUGUGCUGCCCUUAGCUUUUGUUUUCCCAGGCUGUGCACGCCAAUUUGCUCCAGUCUCUUUUCUUUUUUGUAAGACGAGCCUGCAGCCUCCUUUCAUCAGUCUCUGCAGCCCCUGUUUAGCUCUGCCAGCAAAACCAAACAAAUUACAAGAAGGGCUGAAAGCACUGUGAGCUACAGCAGAUUUCAGUAAAUCCACUUCCCCCAGGGAAAGUGGGAAAAGACUCAGGGUUUGGUGGACAGUUGGGGCCACCCCAUCCCUGGGAUAUCACCAGCACCCUCUCCCCAGAGGAACACAGCACCUGUGACAACUCAGGGUGAAAAAAACCCCUCCACCAAAACCAAGCCCCUCGUGCUGUGCCACAGCUUCUCCUGACAACGAGAUUUAUGCGCCUUGUUUGCAGAGAAGUUAAUUUUAAGCCCUGCAAAGUUGCUCAGCCAAGGUCACAACGAGAAUAAAAAGGAUUCCUGCACCAGGAGCUGAACAAAAGCACCCCGGGCCUGGCUGUGCACGCUGUGGCACAGCUACAGUACUGCAAGAGAGGAGAUGUGUGCUUAGACAAACCAGGCCCUUGUGCUGGCAGGGCCAGCAGUGCUGCCACAGCACUGAUCUGUCCCCCAGACCAUGGCUAUGCUGUGUGUAGCAGGUGUAGGGUGUAACUCCACGGAUAAAACUGGAGCAUGGAGAAGAGAAGGCUCAGGGAGAAUCUAUUGUGGCCUUCCAGUACCUUAAGGAGGCUUAUCAAAAGGAGAGAGAGGGACUUCUUAUACGAGCAGAUAGUGACAGGACAAGGGGGAAGGGUUUUAUACUGCCAGAGAGCAGGGUUAGAUGGGAUAUUGGGAAGAAAUUCCUUUCUUAGAGGGUGGAGAGGCCCUGGCACAGGUUGCCCAGAGAAGCUGUGGCUGCCCCAUCCCUGGAAGUGUCCAAGGCCAGGUUGGACAGGGCUUGGAGCAACCUGGGCUGGUGGAAGGUGUCCCUGUCCAUGGCAGGGGGUUGGAUCAAGAUGACCUUUAAUGUCCCUUCCAACCUAAACCAGUGUGGGAUUCUGUGACUCUACAGUUCAGUGUAUUUGAUGCCUGCAGUGCCAGAGCAUACACUAUUCCUUGUACAGCCCUGGUGAUGUCGAGUUCUGGAGGAUUUUACUCACUGGAGUCAAGAUGUGUGUUUGCAUUCCUCCCUCCCUGCUCACCUGCCCGUGCCCCAGAGUCAUUCCUCUUAUCUGCUGUGUGUGGAGUCACUGGAGCUGAAAUUCAGAGAGGGAAAAAAAAGCUGAGGAUGCAGUGAUUUGCUUUCUGAUAUUUUGGGCUACUGUUUUGCUUUAAAAAAAUUGUUUUGAAGAAUUUUGUUGAUAUGGUAGAAAAUUUCACUUCCUCUGCAUUCUGUUUGCUCUCCCUUCCUCCCUUUUUCCUUAUUAAAAGGGAAAUUUAAAAAGAGAGAAGAAAAACAAAUGUCAAGCCAACCUUUAGAAUAAAAUUUUCCUUUCAGAUGUCACCACACUCCCUUAACUUCAAGGAACAUGAAAUUUCUUGACAAAGAACACAGUAGUUAUUAAAAAAAAAAAAAAAAAAAAAAAGAAUUAUCAAUAAAACUCCCCCAGCAGCACCUGAGCUGAGCUCUGCCUGCAGCACAGAGGAGCUUCAACCAUGGGCACUGGGAGAGCUGUGAGUGCUCUCCCACAGGGGCAAAACGUGCCUAAGAAGGGCUCAGCUGAGGGGGCAAGUGCUGGACUACCAAUAUAUGAAUUGUUAGAUACAGGCAAGAUUUCAGCUUUAAGUCAUAGGCAUUGUGUUGUGACUCCAAUUUGUUCCUUUCUGGGCUUUCCAGGUGUUUCCAGCCGUGCCUGGUGACACAGGAGGCACAGCCCCACCUGACCGUGCCUCAGUUUCCCCCGUGCCGGGGCUGAGCUGAGCUGCGGAGGGAGAGGCGCCGCGGAAAUGCCGGAGCAUUCCUGGGCCGUGACUGAUCCCGGCGUUAAUGAUCCAAUGCCUCACAGCUUCUCAGCUGACCUGCUGACCAGUCAGCUACGUCAUCUGAUACCAACAGCAACAACAAUUACUGAGUCAGGCUGACACCUUCCAGCAGUUCAAGCAGACUUGGUACCCUUCAGCCACACCUUCCCUCACGCCAGCCCUCUCCUCACAGGAGGACACAGCCAAGGGCCUCCAUUUCCCUCCUCUGGGAUCAUGGGCUCAGCUCUGUGCCAGCAAGGCAGAUCAGGGCAGCUUCCCCAGGGGCACAGGGUGGCAUUGGAGCUGGAUGUGCCACCAUGGCGUAUGAAGCUCUGGGAUCUCCAUGUGACAGAAUUCUAAACUUAAAGAACAUCUUGUUCCAACCCCCUGCCAUGAGCAGGGACACCUUCCACUAGCCCAGGUUGCUCCAAGCCCCGUCCAACUUGGCCUUGGACACUUCCAGGGAUGGGGUGGCCACAGCUUCUCUGUGGGCAACUCUGGCACAAUGUCCCAGGUCUCUGCAGCACCUCCUCACUGUUCCUGGAACUCCAUCUGCCUGAAUCACCUCAUAGUCUCACCAAGCUCACCAGACAUGAGAGCCACCAGCCCCACCACAGCCCCUCUCCUGGGAGGAUGAGAGGGGAGCAACAAGGGAUCAGAAACAACCCACAGAGCAGAACUGGGAGGCACCAGUGUUCAGGGGCUCUGUGAGGGGGGCAGGCAGCACCUUUGGGCUUCAUCUUACAGAUUCUUCGUUACACUGUCCCAGACCUCAUUCAAGGAGUAAGAAAAAUCUGACAUCUAAGAGGGUCUAACAGCAUAACAAAUAUCAUUGGAUGAAGUUCAUACUCUGUGCCUGAUUGUGGAAUAAUCCGGCUGAGACAUCACCAGAGGGAUGAGACUGCCCUUCACUGUGUGAGAGGAACCCUGUCAUGUCCCCUGGCAGUUUGUUUCUGCUGCUCAUUCCCCCUGUGCCAACGUGCACGUCUGCUUUUCACUUGGACUUUGGCAGCCUCAGCCUCUGCUUCUUGUUCUGCCUCUCUCUGACAUUGAAAGGUCCUCUGGUGCCAAACCAUUCCUCCCAGUGAUGGUGCUUACACACCAGAAUCAAGACAUCCCACAAUUUCUGUGAUGAACCGAGCCAGUUGAGCUCUCUAAGCCUCUCCCUGUAAAGCAUUUUCUCCAACCUCCUGUUAUUUGUGCUGGCUGGUGUCUGUGCAAGCCCACAGACUGGCAUUUGUGUGUGGAUGGAAAUCUGUGUGCAGGAGCAGCCUCCCACCCACAGACACGUGCACAGACAGGAGCUGAUGCAUUACAGCUUAUUUAUCCCUCUGCACACAGAGGGACACACAAGCCCUUUUGCUCACAUCACUGGGGACCAGAUGAGCACCCAUGGUAACACAGAGUACUCCUGACCUGCUCCUCUCCCCCUACAUUAUCCCUUAUCCCUGGGACUACUAAGGCAGCUGCUCACUUUUAAUCUUUGCCCCUCAAACCAUGGAGAAAGAUGAGGGCAGGGAGAGUGAGCCCCCAGCUGAGCCACUGUGGUCCCAUGGCCCAGCUGGCACCCAAGCCCUCCACGUGGGUGCUGUGGUUUGAUUAGUUAAUGCCCAGCCAGCACCUGGCGAGCCUCACUAGAAAAUCCUUAGAGAGAGGCAAGGCAUUAAUUACUAUUAUUAUAAAUCUAAUUGCGCUGCCUGGAUUUCUGAUCUCCUCCUCUGGAAGAGUUCCCGUUGCUCAGCGUGAGCCUGGGGAGGAGGAUUGGAUGGUGAGACUCCUGUCCUCCCUUCCCCAUGGGGAUCAGCAUCUGUGGGGACAGUGGUUUGUUUGCACUCCCCACAGGCUCUGGGAACAGGAGGAUUCACUCAGUGAUUCCAGUGGGACUUCUCCUGAGGGAAGGAUCAAACUGAAACCACAGGCUGGCCUCUCACACCCCCUCACCACGCAGGAUUUGCGUUCCUCCCUCACUGCAAAACAACGUUUCACAGGAUCAGGGAAUAUCCUAAAUUGUAAGGGAACAAGGAUCAUUGAAGUCCAACUCCCAGCCCUGCACAGGACCACACCAAGGAUCACAUGGUGUUUAUUGGGCUCAGGUUCCACAGCGCCAGGGAAGGGCGGCAGUCGCUGUUCAACACGUACGAGCAGGCUGAGGGCAAGGCUCCCGGGAUAUCCUCAGGGAAACACUGUGCUCUGGGAGCAGGGCAGCCCCAUACCCAGGCUCUGCCAUCCCAAGAGGUGUCCUGGGCAGGCAGUGAGGUCACUAACCCUGCCUGACAACACCUGAGGUGCAAGACAUUUAUAUCCUGGCUCUCAUGCCUUUCUUCCCUUCACUGCCCAGUUCUUCUGCUUCCCUUUUCCCAUGUAGCAGGUUCCUCUAACAAUAUCACAGCACAGCUGGCCAGGACAGUGACCCACUAUGGCCAGCAGCUCUUCCCUCACACAUCCUGCAGCACUUUCACCUAAAUCCACUGAAUUUUCCCCAGAAAUGGCUGAGGAACACACCCACACUGUUGGUUGUGGGUGAGACAACAGUGAUAUCCGAGACCACCACAGCUGCCAGCCAGAGCAGUGGAUCUCUGUGUGGCUCAGCAGUCCUCUGCUAGGACUAAUUUGCUCAAACAGCCCUGAUGUCCCAAUUCUAGCUGCUAAAAACCUGUGGGAUGGACCCUGCCCUACGCGCCAGAGACAAAAGUCACCAAGAAAUCCCCCUAGAAAUCCCCCAACCAUCCACACAGCCCCAGAGGAGGAGAUGGUGCACCAAGGGUCACAUCAGCAGCCCAGCUUGAGAGCCUUGGGUGGGGGCUCCCCACAACACCCCUCCUCCUCUCCAGCACCUGGCUGCCCAUGACAGCUCAUGGAGAAUCCCACUCCCUCUCCCAGCACACAUCUCCCCACCCUGCUGCUGAGAAAAACACUUCAUUUUCCUGCUCGUCAUCAGUCACUCCACAUGUCCAGAGCAAAAUACAUCAAUCCCCAGCAUGGAGAAACAUGUCCCAGCAGCUGCUCCUGCAGGAAUGCAAAGAGCAACCCUCUUGGCACAUCAUGGAAGGGAUGUCUGAGCCAAACCACGGCUCAGUGCAGGAGCAGAUGCACCCAGCAGACCAAGACUCAGGGUGUCACUGACCCCCCCUCUCCAUCUGCUGCUGCAAGCAGCUCCAGUGAGUGAACAGCCCAACACCUGGUGACACAGCUCAGGGUGCCCUUCUGAACAAACCCACCCCACCAGAACGGAAGGUUAACGUGUCACAGAGCCCUUCCCCGUCACUCGGCGCCAGGGGAAGGCACAGGAUGGCACCCCAGCACUGCUGACCUGGGGACACCCCCUGGGAUGGACCAGAGAGCCACCUCAAGCCAGGCAUGCAGGGGAAGGAGUUAAUCUCUCAGCCCAAGCUGCCGCUGAAGCAGAGCUCUGCCCGAGGGCACCAUCAGCCCUGCACAUUUUUCUUUGUGAAGUAAUGCUUUCCACAGCAGUUUGCUGGCUGGCUGCAUGGGGUGGGUGCUGGGUGGAAAAGCUGGGGGGCAGGGGUGUCUCCCACCACCACACCUUUGCUGUUCCUACCCCUGCUCAUCCCACUCCUCAGUGGGGCUGUCCCGGGAUUGUCCUUCACCAGAUAUUCCCCUUUCCCCACGUCAUUAUUUGGGUUUCCAUGAGCUAAUACACAAAACUCAAAGGUCGAGGGUCACCUGUCGUCAUGAGGCAGGUGAGUCACUUCUGCCAAGGCUGCCUUGGCCAGAGCAGGAGGCAGCACUAAAACGUCCUCCACUGCCAGGACACGAUGCCAGUCCCAGCCACACACGGGCACAGUGCUGGACACCACCCCCAGCCCGUGCCACAGCCAGCUGAGCUGGUGGCAGGUAGAGAGGUUGAGGGUGGGUCUACAAUCCGUUCUCACCAAGUGACCAGGCAGCAACGAUGCUUUGUGCAGUGCUUUGUGGCCCUUCUGUCGAGCCAGUUGGCAAAAUCAAACCCAUUGUCCCCAGGGAGGACACAAGAAAAGGACAGAGCAGCUUGUGACAGGUUCUGGGACACUGCUCCUGCCUGCAAUCCCAGGUCUCUGCACAGAGAAUAACUGCUCAGCCCACCUGCACAGGUCCACUGUGGGUGCAGGGUGGGGACAGAAAAAGAAUAGACCUGAUUUUGGUGUGGCCCAGGAGUGGACCUGGGUACAAAAGUGCGCUGGGGAGGCAUCCAGCAUCACCAUGGGGGCAGUGAUGGAAAAAGCCAUCAGUGCAUCCUCACAGCCCUGCCUCCACACCUCCCACACUGCUGGGAGCUGAGCGUGAUGAGCUUCUGCACAUCUGUGCUGGUUUAAAGGUAAACCAGCAGGGGAAAUGAACCCAACCCAAAAGAGAUUGUAAGUCAGAAUAACAAUUUAAUAAAAACAAUACAAUAAAUACAA
This is a long non-coding RNA of Pseudopipra pipra, 7718 nucleotides long. RefSeq lists it as uncharacterized. NCBI's taxonomy places the organism in Eukaryota, Metazoa, Chordata, Aves, Passeriformes, Pipridae. The record is from RefSeq and is a predicted model, not a curated record. The transcript is spliced from 2 exons.